This 497-nucleotide ribosomal RNA is filed under the name uncultured bacterium. Its description in RNAcentral is "partial 16S ribosomal RNA". It matches the Rfam family "Bacterial small subunit ribosomal RNA", at positions 28 to 507 of the family's 1533-position model. The record is from RNAcentral.
GAUGAACGCUGGCGGUGUGCCUAAUACAUGCAAGUCGAGCGAACGGACGAGAAGCUUGCUCUUCUGAUGUUAGCGGCGGACGGGUGAGUAACACGUGGAUAACCUACCUAUAAGACUGGGAUAACUUCGGGAAACCGGAGCUAAUACCGGAUAAUAUUUUGAACCGCAUGGUUCAAAAGAGAUAGACGGUCUUGCUGUCACUUAUAGAUGGAUCCGCGCUGCAUUAGCUAGUUGGUAAGGUAACGGCUUACCAAGGCAACGAUGCAUAGCUGACCUGAGAGGGUGAUCAGCCACACUGGAACUGAGACACGGUCCAGACUCCUACGGGAGGCAGCAGUAGGGAAUCUUCCGCAAUGGGCGAAAGCCUGACGGAGCAACGCCGCGUGAGUGAUGAAGGUCUUCGGAUCGUAAAACUCUGUUAUUAGGGAAGAACAUAUGUGUAAGUAACUGUGCACAUCUUGACGGUACCUAAUCAGAAAGCCACGGCUAACUACGUG